CAGUAGCCACGGGAAUACGAAGGGGGCUAGCGUUGCUCGGAAUCACUGGGCGUAAAGGGUGCGUAGGCGGGUCUUUAAGUCAGGGGUGAAAUCCUGGAGCUCAACUCCAGAACUGCCUUUGAUACUGAAGAUCUUGAGUUCGGGAGAGGUGAGUGGAACUGCGAGUGUAGAGGUGAAAUUCGUAGAUAUUCGCAAGAACGCCAGUGGCGAAGGCGGCUUACUGGCUCGAAACUGACGCUGAGGCGCGAAAGCGUGGGGAGCAAAUAGGAUUAGAUACCCCUGUAGUCCCUGUCUCUUAUAC
Molecule: ribosomal RNA, 301 nt
Filed under: uncultured bacterium
Lineage: Bacteria
Description: partial 16S ribosomal RNA
Rfam family: Bacterial small subunit ribosomal RNA
Source: RNAcentral